This 456-nucleotide ribosomal RNA is filed under the name uncultured delta proteobacterium. RNAcentral's name for it is "bacterial SSU rRNA". It matches the Rfam family "Bacterial small subunit ribosomal RNA", at positions 1074 to 1533 of the family's 1533-position model. Lineage: Bacteria; Deltaproteobacteria. The record is from RNAcentral.
UGUGGGUAGUCCGCACGAGCGCACCCUACAUUAGUUGCCAGCAUUUCGGAUGGGGACUCUAAGGAGACUGCCUGGGAUAACCAGGAGGAAGGUGGGGAUGAUGUCAAGUCAGUAUGUCCCUUAUGCCCAGGGCUACACACGUGUUACAAUGACCGGUACAAUGGGCAGCGAUCCCGCAAGGGCAAGCCAAUCCCAAAAAACCGGCCCCAGUUCAGAUUGGAGUCUGCAACUCGACUCUAUGAAGCAGGAAUCUCUAGUAAUCGCGGAUCAGCACGCCGCGGUGAAUACGUUCCCGGGUCUUGUACACACCGCCCGUCAAGCCAUGGAAGUCGGCAGUACCCGAAGCCGGUGGCCCAACUCUUCGGAGAGGGAGCCGUCGAAGGUAAGGCCGGUAACUAGGGCUAAGUCGUAACAAGGUAGCCGUACCGGAAGGUGCGGCUGGAUCACCUCCUUUCU